This 6887-nucleotide long non-coding RNA is filed under the name Sus scrofa (pig). RNAcentral's name for it is "lncRNA (ENSSSCG00065060321.1)". Lineage: Eukaryota; Metazoa; Chordata; Mammalia; Artiodactyla; Suidae. The record is from RNAcentral.
UUUUUUUUUUUUUUUUUUACGGCCGCACCCACAGAAUGUGGAGGUUCCCAGGCCCCAGGCUAGGGGUUGAAUUGGAGUUGUAGCCAAUGGCCUGUGCCACAGUCACAGUCACUCCAGAUCCGAGCCAUGUCUGCAAACUGCACCACAGCUCAUGGCAAUGCCAGAUCCCUAACCCACUGAGUGAGGCCAUGGAUCGAACCCGCAACCUCAUGGUUCCUAGUUGGAUUUGUUAGCCACUGAGCCAUGACAGGAAUUCCCCAGCCAUGAUGGGAACUCUCUUAAGUGGUUUGAUGCUUAAUUUAAUAGGUAAUACUUGUAAUUUUUAGGUGUUUUCAGGGCCUAAAAGAGCACUGCUCUAUGUGACGUUGUCCAACAGUAUAUCAACGUGCAUCCACUCCUAUGCCUGUUGUGUGACUUGCUUUAGAUACUGUGUUUUGGAAUUUCAGCCCAGGAAUAAGGGUGGGGAGUAGGCUUCCCUUCCCACCUAGCUUACACAGACAAAUUCAUAGGCUGUAAAAAGGUUUUAUCCACAAAAGGAGGGAUUUAGACUAGUCAGGAUUUUAACUGGACAUUUAACAACAGAGUCCUACAGAGUCUUCCAGUAAAAUUCACGGAAACAAUGAAAUUAAAUGAGAAAAGUUAUCUUUAGUUUCAAAAACCUCUAAGAGAAUUUUAUCAUUCCCUUCCUUCAGUUAUGAAUAAACCGAUAAUCAUAUCAACACUAUCCAUGAAUUUUUCACCAACAGAAACCACAGGUAUUUUUUUGUAUUACAUCAUCGUUAUCAUGGAUACCUCAAGCCAUCAUUUAUUUUCAUCACUAUAGAGAAAUUGUGAUAGUUAUCAGAUCCAUGGCAAGAUCAUUCCAUUAAAUACAUUAAUAAAGAAUCGCAUGUAUCAUUCCAUCAACACUUCUUUUAAAUACCAUAAUACAAUCAUUUUGACGUAAUUUUAAUGCUAGGUAUUUCAUUUUGUAAAAUAAAAAAGAUGAGAGAGAAUGUUUAUAUGAAAUGAAGAUAUAUCCCUACAAAAAAGACUACAUAUAUAUAUAUUUUUUAUUUUAAAAUGUCAGUCAGAGAGGGGAUGUGCAGCAAGUGGGUAUUUGAACUGAGAGCUGAGUAAUAUGAAGAAAUUAGGGAAUAGAUGCCAGGGCAAGAAAAUAGGACAAAGGCCUCACAACAGGAAAAAAUACCAUGAAAGCGAUGGAAGGCAGGGGAAGACAAUGAGCGUGGCAAAGCCAAGAGUUGUAUGUUCGUCUCUGACAAACAUGGGUGCACAAGAAGAGCUGUGGAUAGAUUAAUUUACUCAGGGUUGUGAUUUAGCCAACAGUUUGGCAAAUCAGAAGAGGAUACAUGCCAUUCAUUGCUAAGAGUGACCACUAUGGAAAUUCAGCAACUUAGGAACCAUGAAUAUUGGGGAUGGAGAGAUAAAAGAGAUACAGUGAGAGGAUGGGAGCAUUAAUGAGGUGUAGGUUCUAGUGAGGUCUGGAGAUUGGUGCAGAGGAUAUGUAGGAAGGCUGCUUUAUACUAUUAGGGAGAGAUGACAAUGGCUAUGGUCUUAAUCAGCUUGGGUGCUAUAACGAAUACUAUAGACCAGGUGACUUCAUCAGAAAUUUAUUUCCCACAAUUCUGGACCCUGGAGUCCAAGACCAGGGUGCCAGCAAGGUUGAGUUUUGGUGAGAGCCCUCCUGCUGGUUGCUUUUUCUUUAUGAGACAGAAAAAAAGAUCACAUCCAUCUGUCUCCUAUAAGACCACUAACCCACUCAUGAUGGCUCUACUCUCAUGAUGUAAUCACCUUGCAAAGGCCCCUACCUCUAAAAACUAUCACAUUUGGAUUAGGGCUUCAUCAUAUGAAUCUGGGAGAGUGGAGGGGACGCAAACAUUAAGCCCAAAGUAACCAUGAAGAUGCAGGGACGUAGAUAAUUUAAGAUCCUUUCAUGUUAUUAUUGCCAGGAUACUAGGAAGUAUGCUCCAAUAAGGUAAGGAGUUCUUCCUUUACCACUUUACUCCCAGCUCUUAGAUAGCGCCUGACACAUAGAAAGUGCUUAAUCAAUAUUAACAAAGUAAAUAAACUGAUGCAUGCGUAAGGAAGAUGUAGGAUUGCUACCAGGUUUUAGAGGGAAUUCAAUUUUUAAAUUAGGGAGGAGGGGAUGUGGAAAAGGUUUGUGGUUCUUUCUUAAAUACUGACAAGAAAUCGUACGUCGUAUCAGCAUCAUCUUAUCAAUAACACUCUCACUGAAGCAUUUAUUCCAACACAGAUACCAUGAUAGGCACCAUAAGAAAAGAUUGUAUGAGCUAUAUAAUUCUUUCUUCCCUGGAGGGAAGAGCAUGUAAGGGAGUUAGUAGAUAUUUAGGCAGGCAUGCAAAUAAUAAGAGCAAUUGAUUUCUUCCCAGGAAAACUGAACACUUCAACAAAAUGCAGAAAUCCCUUCAGUAUCUUCAUUGAAACUGCUCUGAAUCUUGAAUUACAUUUCUAGCUAAAUGAUCAAUCAAGUAUGAGCAAAAUAACAUCAGUUUUAUAAUUUGAAGAAUAAAAAAAUCUACAUUUAUAAAAAUUGUUAUUUACAGAAAUACUUUAGCAAAGCCAAAAAUAAUUCAAGCGGUCAAUACAUUUUGGAAAGGUCUCAAAAGUGCAAUUAAAGAAAAUUUUCUGAAUUAUAGAGUUACUGAAACCUAAGAGGUCUGCCUAACAUUGUCUUUUUUAACAACUAUAUUUUUAAGCAAUGAGUCAGCUAAGUGAUUCAUUGAAGAUAAUUAUUUCUUAUUCCAUAAACAAUCAGAAAAUAAAAGAAAAUAGGGAAAAUGAGAAAUUUCAGGAUAGAUAGCUAUGUUAGUAAAGGAUAAUCCAAAUAAGAAGCAAACAAAAUGCACUAUUUUUAUUGACUCUAUUAAAUGUAAGAAAAUAUAAUGCAUUUGGUUUUAAUGAUUAAAGUGUCUCACUUAAGUAACACAGGUAUACCAAGGUAGAUAUCUUUUCUCUUAAAUUCGUUCCAAAUAAUUACGUAGAAUUUUUAUAUACAUUUCUUUAAAUACUGAUAAGAAAUAAUACAUAUUACCACUUAUUAUAAAACCUAUUUAUUUUCAUAUUUAAUAAUUAAUUUAUUCCCAAUUGAGGAAGACAUACCCCACUAAAUUGGAGGUUCUUAGAGGAAAGAAAUUGUUACUGAUGUGUGAAUAUUACCAAGAGCAGUCCCUGACCUAACAAACAAUAGGCAUUCAACAAUUACUCCUUCAUAUAAUCACAGGAUAGAAUGUGUCUCUUAUUCAUUUUGAGAGAAAUUUAAGACAAGGAAGAAGGAGAAACAUAAAGAAAUAAUUUGUUGCAAAUAUUCUCUGGUAAAGCAAUAACUAUAACAAGAGUAUUUUUAGAAAGUUAAACAGGACAUAGCCCCUAUCCUAUGAACUCUCAGCCAAAGUGGAGACCGUAUAUUAAUAGUUGACAAAAGUAAGAUAUGUAAAGUCCUAGGAUGUUGUCAUUAACAAAUAAUAACAGCCAAGUUAAGGAAAGGUUAGUUCACUUGUGAGAGACUGAGUUGGCUAAGGAAGGGAGACACAUGUGACCAACCUUGAAAAUGAGUAAGAAUCUUCAAGGCUAGAAUGUGGCCAACAAAACAGCGUAUCUUAGAGGAACAUCGCAGGGAAAGAGCACAGUGUGUAAGUGGUUUGGUGUAGAAGAAGGGCUGACCAUAACAUCGGGAAGGUAAACUAGGACUAAGCCAGCAGAAAGGAGGAGUUGCAACCUUAUGCCUUUUCCCUCUGUAUAGAUAAACAGUUUUCUUCUAAAAACCUGUGAACUUAUUUUUUUAAAAAUGAUUGUGGGAUAUAUUCCCAAAGAAAGGCAACAUGGCAAAUGAAGUUAAAGCUCACUGAUAUAAGAGUAAGAAUGGAAGAAAAACACUUAGAUGAUAUGAUUAUGAUAAGAGGGGUCAUCUUCCUCAAAACAGUGAUCCUAAAUAAUCCUUCAUGGAGUAACAUUCAUAUAUAAAGAACAGCUCUCUGUCAACAAAACACAAACAAAACACUACGCAUGUAUAACACCUACAAAUUAUUUAAGAAACUUAUUCUUGGGCUUAAUGGUUCUUACACUUAAUUUUAUUAUAUGUGUUUUUCUUAAAACUCUCUAUGAAUAUAGGAUUGCAGUAUAUUCAUGUUUAGUAUCUAUUGUGUCUAACUGCCCUUGUAGUUUCAUGUAAACAAACAAAGGCAAAGGUCAUCACUAUAGCAAAAGAAAUAAAGAAGGAAUAAAGAGAGGGAGAGGAGAAAGAAUAAAUGACACAACAAAAAAGAAAAAAAAAUCAAACUGAUUAAUGUACCAGGAAUUCCUUCACAUUGCUAAACUUAAGCAUUUAUUGGCAGGAAGGCAAAUAUGUAUCUUGCUUGCUUUCAUUUUCCCAAAGCACAAUUUAAUUAAUAUUGUCAUUUAGCUCCUGGUAACAGACUCAUACCAUAACAUUCCUCCCACACCACAAGAUCAAUGGAAGCUACAACAGAAAGAAAUUAGAACGUGCAUCAAAUUUGCAAAGCUCAUAAAGAAAACACAUUUGCCCUUCAUGUAUUUUUAAAGAGAUUCUUGCUUCGUUAUAUUGUGUAAAUGGUUUCUCUGUUCAGUUAAACAGACAAAACUGAACUUCGGUGCUAUCCUAUUUUUCAGAAAUACAGAAUGCCAUUCAGUUUUUAAAAAGAUUUUAGUGGUGAUAGUAUUAUGCAUAGAUGCCCAGUUAUUCUAUAAGGGCUUUGUAAUGUCUGAGAAAGAACUUGGCAUGCGAUCUCAUUCAUGCGUCUCAUUUCCUUCUUUCCUAACUCCUUAGCCCUUAAGAACUAAGCCUUGUUUCUAACAUUAAGAUUAACUUUUUGACCAGCUAUACCUCAUUCUUUGUUUUCAGUAGCAUUUUGGAUUAUAUAACAGGAAAAAUGAAACUGAUAAUUCAGAACGGUAUUUAAGAAUAUGCAUUCAUUUAAAUCAGCUUGUUCUUUAGAUUAUACAACUUUUAGAUGAAAAUGCUAGUUUUGGAACCAUGACUUUUAAGUAAUUAAUUUAACCCCAGCACUAAACACUCAGUACUGCUGGAAUAAGCUAUAUUUUAAAAUACUGUUUCAUAUAAACAAACAAAAACUGCAUCUCUUGCAUUCCAUGUGUAGCUAUUUAUUAUAUCAACGUAUUCCUUUUCCAUAUUAUGCAUUUAAUAUUUGCUUUUCCCACACUGAGUCAUUCCAAAAUGGAAUGAUUUGUUGAAAACAGAAUAGUUAGUUGCAAAAUUCUGUUUUUAAUUAGGUUAUUUUAAUAUCUUAUGUUAUUGACAACAAAUACGUGACAGAAACAGAUUUAACUUAGUCUUUACAUUUUUGAAAUUGUUGAAAAAAUAUUGGGAUCAAUAUUUUUAGAUUUAUUAAAAAAGUUUUUUGAUUAGAAAAACAGUAUGUAAUUUGUGGUAUAUAAAAUUGUUCAGAGUUCCAACAACUAUUCUAGAGAUAUGUCUCUUACAUCUACUGAUGUGAAAUUUCUUGAAUGGGUUGGAUCAUCCACCACUAGCUCAAGGUCCCUCUACACGUGCUUAGUAUUUUGGAGAAGUAACAGCAAUUGUAUUAUAUGUUCAUCUUUUGUUGUUGUUGACCAGUGUCAGCUUUGUUAAACCCUAGUUUCGUUACUCAACGAACAAUUUUAGUGAGCUAUAGGCUUUUUAAUAAUAGAUUUUAUGACUUUGUAUCUACACGCCCUACACAGACUACUAAUUUUAAUUCAGCUAUCAGUAUAAUUGAGAAAAGGAGAGAGGUUUAACAUUCUUACUACCAAUUUAAGAUUAGGUUUCCUUAUUUCCUUCUAUUCUAAGUAUGAUGCGCUACUUCAAGAAAUAUAGUUUCCUAAAACUAUUUAAGUUAUUUUGAAGCAACAUUUUAAGAACUCAAUAUGAGUAACUCAUUAAUAUUUCCAGCAUCUCUACAACAUGGAUGAAAAUAUUGACUUUUUUUCUGCACAGUUCAAAGAAUCACUAUUAAAUAUGGUCAGAAAAUGUAUGUGCCCUUAUUAAGACUAGCUACCAUUAAUCUAAUAUAUGAAAUCAAUAUUUUUGUCAGAGCAAUGAAAUUCAAGUUUUUAUUGUUGAGUGUGAAUAGGAAAAAUUAUAUCAAUAAUGUAGUGAAAAAUUACAUUGAGUCAAGACAUUACACAAUUGCAUUAUUGUAUUACUUCAUUACUGCAUGCAAUUAAAAAUUAAUGCUCAACUAUCCCAUUGCUGCAUUGGUCUCCUUUCUAAGGUUGUAUGACUAUGAUAGAUAAUAGAUAAAAUUCUGAUUUUUUUCUGAGAUAAUAAUAAAUCUUAUGUAGAAAAUAAAUUUUUAUCUAUGUCUUUUUUCACAAUUUUUAUGUACAGAUAUUAUAUAUAAUACAUAAAACAAUUUUACACACAGAAAGUAUUUAUUCUCUGAAAUUAUUUAAUAGUUACAUUUAAGAAAUAUAAGCCAAAAACUUAGCAAAUAAAAAUGCCCACAUUAUAUUUUCCUAUUUUUUCACAAAUCUGUUCAUUUGAUAUACUAACAUUGAACUCAAAAAUGAACCAGUUUUAAGGGUAGUCUAGAAGAACUACAUUAUAGCAUACAGCAUAAUUUAGGUGGAUUAUAUUUGCAGUAUUGGUAGCAUGAACCAGUUUCACUGCAUAUGAGUCCUCUGCUGUUAUUUUCCGUCAGCUUAUUUUUUGUUAAAAGUGGCUUUCAAGCAAGUGUGUGUGUGUGUCCAUACAUGUCAAGGAUUUAGGUUAGGGAUUAGCUAUUCCCAAGUAAUUCAUGUCUAUCAAGAUCUGUUACCAUAACUUAAGCUUUUCAUGACAGAUACAGUUAAGACAGAAGUUGCAUAUAAUACCACAUAUAAAGACAUUUAUAAUGGAUUCAUGUCUGGUC